Molecule: ribosomal RNA, 307 nt
Filed under: uncultured bacterium
Lineage: Bacteria
Description: partial 16S ribosomal RNA
Rfam family: Bacterial small subunit ribosomal RNA
Source: RNAcentral
AGACAGCAGUAGCCGCGGGAAUACGGAGGGUGCAAGCGUUAAUCGGAAUUACUGGGCGUAAAGCGCACGCAGGCGGUCUGACAAGUCAGAUGUGAAAUCCCCGGGCUUAACCUGGGAACUGCAUUUGAAACUGUCAGGCUGGAGUCUUGUAGAGGGGGGUGGAAUUCCAGGUGUAGCGGUGAAAUGCGUAGAGAUCUGGAGGAAUACCGGUGGCGAAGGCGGCCCCCUGGACAAAGACUGACGCUCAGGUGCGAAAGCGUGGGGAGCAAACAGGAUUAGAUACCCCGGUAGUCCCUGUCUCUUAUAC